This 362-nucleotide unclassified non-coding RNA is filed under the name fungal sp. RNAcentral describes it as "partial internal transcribed spacer region". The stretch from base 1 to 44 matches the Rfam family "Eukaryotic small subunit ribosomal RNA", at positions 1788 to 1831 of the family's 1831-position model. Lineage: Eukaryota; Fungi. The record is from RNAcentral.
GUCGUAACAAGGUUUCCGUAGGUGAACCUGCGGAAGGAUCAUUACCACACCUAAAAAACUUUCCACGUGAACUGUCGUUAUUUGUUGUGUGUCUGCGCGUUGCUGGCGUGCGUUUGCUUACGCUUCGGUGUUUGCGAGUGCGUGCUGGCGGUGCGCGGACUGAACGAAGGUCGUGUUGCUGUGUGCCUGCUGCACUGCUGACUUUGCAUUGAUUUGCAUGGUCUUGGCGGAGCGGCGGGUGCUGUGCGUGCGCGGCUGACUUACUUUUUCAAACCCCAUACCUAACUUACUGAUUAUACUGUGAGAACGAAAGUUCUUGCUUUUAACUAGAUAACAACUUUCAGCAGUGGAUGUCUAGGCUC